This 117-nucleotide non-coding RNA is filed under the name Homo sapiens (human). The record is from Rfam by way of RNAcentral. Lineage: Eukaryota; Metazoa; Chordata; Mammalia; Primates; Hominidae.
GCUGGGGGUGGUGGCUCACACCUGUAAUCCCAGCACUUUGGGAGGCUGAGGCAGGGAGAUCACUUGAGGCCAGGAUUUCAAGACUAGCCUGGCCAACAUGGCGAAUCCCUGCCUCUA